UCCUAUUCCGUUUCUUUUUCACUAAAUAACUAUUGAAUAUAGGUCUCCUUUCCAUUUUACCCUCCUAUUUUCUCAUGCUAGAAAAGUUCUCACUCAGCUCAAUCUCAGUCCCGACCUCCCUUGCUUCCUUCGUCUUCGGCCAGCAGUAGUCCUCCCUUAGGUUUGUGGGAGAGGGGUGUUAAGGUCAUCUUUUCAGCUGUGUAACUUUUCUUCUAAAGAGGAAAGUCAAGGUGCAAUCGAUGCUUCUCCAACGAUUUGAGUGCGGGGUACUUUUGGCUCAUUGUCGGUUCCGAUUGUCUUGAGAUUGUGUUCCCAGUAAAAACAAAUCAGGUAAUCCUUAGGCAUAGGCGGGUUUGUGCGACGGAGGCUCAGUGGUGACCACUAGUAUGGAAACUAUUUUUAGCUAAUAAUCUAAUUAAUUUUUUUUCUAGAUUUUUCUUUGAGAGCUUUGUAAUUUGGGGACUCUCUGGACUGUUUUGUUUAUAAUUUUUGGAUUUGGAUGCAUUUUUUAUUUAUAUCCUGCCACGUUUUACAAAA
Molecule: long non-coding RNA, 537 nt
Organism: Gossypium raimondii (Peruvian cotton)
Lineage: Eukaryota; Viridiplantae; Streptophyta; Magnoliopsida; Malvales; Malvaceae
Exons: 5
Source: RefSeq, a predicted model, not a curated record